This 452-nucleotide ribosomal RNA is filed under the name Streptococcus sp. oral taxon 058. Its description in RNAcentral is "bacterial SSU rRNA". It matches the Rfam family "Bacterial small subunit ribosomal RNA", at positions 38 to 474 of the family's 1533-position model. The record is from RNAcentral. Lineage: Bacteria; Bacillati; Bacillota; Bacilli; Lactobacillales; Streptococcaceae.
GGCGGCGUGCCUAAUACAUGCAAGUAGAACGCUGAAGGAGGAGCUUGCUUCUCUGGAUGAGUUGCGAACGGGUGAGUAACGCGUAGGUAACCUGCCUGGUAGUGGGGGAUAACUAUUGGAAACGAUAGCUAAUACCGCAUAAUAUUGACUAUUGCAUGAUAGUCAAUUAAAAGGUGCAAUUGCAUCACUACCAGAUGGACCUGCGUUGUAUUAGCUAGUUGGUGGGGUAACGGCUCACCAAGGCGACGAUACAUAGCCGACCUGAGAGGGUGAUCGGCCACACUGGGACUGAGACACGGCCCAGACUCCUACGGGAGGCAGCAGUAGGGAAUCUUCGGCAAUGGACGGAAGUCUGACCGAGCAACGCCGCGUGAGUGAAGAAGGUUUUCGGAUCGUAAAGCUCUGUUGUAAGAGAAGAACGAGUGUGAGAGUGGAAAGUUCACACUGUGACG